UGCAGUCGACGGUAGCACAGAGAGCUUGCUCUCGGGUGACGAGUGGCGGACGGGUGAGUAAUGUCUGGGAAACUGCCUGAUGGAGGGGGAUAACUACUGGAAACGGUAGCUAAUACCGCAUAACGUCGCAAGACCAAAGAGGGGGACCUUCGGGCCUCUUGCCAUCAGAUGUGCCCAGAUGGGAUUAGCUAGUAGGUGGGGUAACGGCUCACCUAGGCGACGAUCCCUAGCUGGUCUGAGAGGAUGACCAGCCACACUGGAACUGAGACACGGUCCAGACUCCUACGGGAGGCAGCAGUGGGGAAUAUUGCACAAUGGGCGCAAGCCUGAUGCAGCCAUGCCGCGUGUAUGAAGAAGGCCUUCGGGUUGUAAAGUACUUUCAGCGGGGAGGAAGGUGUUGUGGUUAAUAACCGCAGCAAUUGACGUUACCCGCAGAAGAAGCACCGGCUAACUCCGUGCCAGCAGCCGCGGUAAUACGGAGGGUGCAAGCGUUAAUCGGAAUUACUGGGCGUAAAGCGCACGCAGGCGGUCUGUCAAGUCGGAUGUGAAAUCCCCGGGCUCAACCUGGGAACUGCAUUCGAAACUGGCAGGCUAGAGUCUUGUAGAGGGGGGUAGAAUUCCAGGUGUAGCGGUGAAAUGCGUAGAGAUCUGGAGGAAUACCGGUGGCGAAGGCGGCCCCCUGGACAAAGACUGACGCUCAGGUGCGAAAGCGUGGGAAGCAAACAGGAUUAGAUACCCUGGUAGUCCACGCCGUAAACGAUGUCGAUUUGGAGGUUGUGCCCUUGAGGCGUGGCUUCCGGAGCUAACGCGUUAAAUCGACCGCCUGGGGAGUACGGCCGCAAGGUUAAAACUCAAAUGAAUUGACGGGGGCCCGCACAAGCGGUGGAGCAUGUGGUUUAAUUCGAUGCAACGCGAAGAACCUUACCUGGUCUUGACAUCCACAGAACUUUCCAGAGAUGGAUUGGUGCCUUCGGGAACUGUGAGACAGGUGCUGCAUGGCUGUCGUCAGCUCGUGUUGUGAAAUGUUGGGUUAAGUCCCGCAACGAGCGCAACCCUUAUCCUUUGUUGCCAGCGGUUAGGCCGGGAACUCAAAGGAGACUGCCAGUGAUAAACUGGAGGAAGGUGGGGAUGACGUCAAGUCAUCAUGGCCCUUACGACCAGGGCUACACACGUGCUACAAUGGCGCAUACAAAGAGAAGCGACCUCGCGAGAGCAAGCGGACCUCAUAAAGUGCGUCGUAGUCCGGAUUGGAGUCUGCAACUCGACUCCAUGAAGUCGGAAUCGCUAGUAAUCGUAGAUCAGAAUGCUACGGUGAAUACGUUCCCGGGCCUUGUACACACCGCCCGUCACACCAUGGGAGUGGGUUGCAAAAGAAGUAGGUAGCUUAACCUUCGGGAGGGCGCUUACCACUUUGUGAUUCAUGACUGGGGUGAAGUC
RNAcentral lists this ribosomal RNA (1437 nucleotides) under Enterobacter cloacae. RNAcentral describes it as "bacterial SSU rRNA". It matches the Rfam family "Bacterial small subunit ribosomal RNA". Lineage: Bacteria; Pseudomonadati; Pseudomonadota; Gammaproteobacteria; Enterobacterales; Enterobacteriaceae. The record is from RNAcentral. RNAcentral also lists the same sequence under 1 other name.